Molecule: ribosomal RNA, 253 nt
Filed under: uncultured prokaryote
Description: partial 16S rRNA
Rfam family: Archaeal small subunit ribosomal RNA
Source: RNAcentral
ACCGGCAGCUCAAGUGGUGGCCAUUAUUAUUGGGCCUAAAGCGUUCGUAGCCGGUUUGAUAAGUCUCUGGUGAAAUCCCGCAGCUUAACUGUGGGACUUGCUGGAGAUACUAUCAGACUUGAGGUCGGGAGAGGUUAGGGGUACUCCCAGGGUAGGGGUGAAAUGCUUAGAGCCUGGGGGGACCACCUUGGGCGAAGGGGCCUAACGGGGACGGACCUGACGGUGAAGUACUAAAGCCAGGGGGCGCGAACCG